GAUAAAUUUUCUGUGUGCUGUAUUUUUCUACUUGAACUAGUAAUUUUCUGCACCUGUGUUCCCACAAACCGGUGUGCUGCAUUUGCACACCAUGGUCAUGAAAGUUUUUCGUGUCUCUAUAACAAUAUAUUCAUGUUGAGUUUCUUCAGAAUUAAGUUCCCUGAAUGUUCAGAUGUCAAUUUUUUUUCAUGAAGGUAUAUAUCUGUUCACCCUCGUCCAUAUAUGUGGUCUGUGUAUGUGGUGAGGGAGAUGCCAUUUUCCACCCUAGGCACGAUUUCCUGUUGUCAUGUGCAUAAGGUAGAUUAUAUUCACUUCAGUCUGCUCUGCAGUGUCCAUUGUCCACUUGAAAUUCAGCAAAACCUUGUUCUUGUGCUCAUUUUUGAAUUAAGGAAGGGAAGAACGAUAACUCUCACUGCCGUGCAUUGUCGUGGAUUGCCGUCGAGUUCUGCUCGUGCGCGGGCUGUCAUUGAGAUGCAAAAGCAGUGCAAGUCAAGUUGGAAGAAGCAGAGGCAUUUUACACAUUGUGUAAUAUUGUCAUUUCAGUAUAUAGACAAAUUGAUUACAAACUAACUCUUAUAUGAAUUUUCUUUUUAAAUCCUAAUAGCAUGAUAAGUGCUAUGCAUUGUCUUGAUGAAGUUCUUCAUCUCCUCCAAUUCCUGCAGCACCUCCUCUAGAUUGUCACCUUCAAUCAUCUUAGUUAGCACCUCCUAUGUAUUCUCACAAUGGUCGUCAGUUUUGAAGUGCUGAACCCCAGACCCACAGGAUUAUUGUCUGUUGCAUGUUGCUCUCCUCUCAAGCUUUUCCAAUGGACUGCAGAUUGGGAUAGCACCAAAUAUUAAUAUAAAUUUAGGGAUAGCACCAAAUAUUAAUAUAAAUUUAAUUUCCUCAGUUCAAAUCAUUCUCAUUAGUACAUUACCCGUUGUGUGGGUCAUAAUAAAACCCACUAACAGAUAUACUAGAAAGUAUUGCUCUUUACUUCUCUACAAGUAGCAUAAAAAAAUUCAGAAUAAUGAUAGGUGUUAAAAUUCAGUACUGUACUAGAAUAACUCAGUAAGAGCAUCACCAAGAGUAUCCCAAAAUUUUGUUUAUGGGAAUCUUAAAUAAAAUUUAAGGUGUUAAAAUAUUGAGCCCUCCAAGAGAUUGGCUAAAAUUGACUCCCUAAAUCUAAAAAGUGGUCCCUCUACAAAACUACCAACUGAAAUCUGUUUCAGGCUCUCCCUCCUGUGAGAUUAUCACGCUCGCCCGUGUGACCAUUGAUCGCGGGAACCACUUGGUGGUCACCUCCCUGUCACCCCUCUCCACGCAGUAGCACGUCAGCAAAUCUGAUCCUGCAAACAAUCAAGCAGAACCACUACAAGUAGCAGCAUCAGCAAAGUCCCUAAUUACCAACCAGAACCAACAACAUCGUACCAUUUUCAACAAUAGCAGAUCAGUAGCGUCAACUCAGAUCAGCAAACGUCGUUCAAAAAAAAAUUCAGAUCGGCAACAGCAUGGCAAUUAGCAAUAGCAUGGCAAGCAACAAGCAGCAGAUCACAACUAGCAGCAGGUCAGUAGCAUCAACAACAGCACAUCAUCAGCAACACCAACAUCAACUUUCAACACCACCACCGGCACCAACAACAUUAUUCAGUACCAACUGUAGAAUUCGUAGUAGCAGAUUAGCAGCGCCAAAACUAGCAAGCACUAGCAGAUACCUUCGCUCAUCUCCAUCAUCGAGAGACCAAUCCCGAUUUGAGGAGAAACCAACUCGGGCCGAUGGAAGUUCGCCUGGCUGUAGUGGAGAUGGUGCCGCUGCCGCCGCCAGAGCAGGAACUAUCGACGCCGAGAAAGCUCUAGGCAGCGGCGCGCGCGUGAGAUGUGGGCACCUGUAGGACACCUCGAUGCGACGGCGAACAACCUCGUGAUGAACCCCCUGUCGAGAACACUUCACGUGCGCGUGGGAAUUCGCACGACGGCACGAGAGAGGGAGAUUGGGAGCGAGCGCCUCUCCCUACUUGUGGAGAACGAAAAAUUCGGUUUUUGAACUAUUGGGCGCUUGGCUAGGGAUUCUGUUGGACUGGGUUUUUGAACGAAAAUCUCCAAAUUUCAGGAUAACCAUAUACAGAUAUUGUUGGUGAUGCUCUAAGGAACUAAAGAUACAAAAUCAUCGAGAGUACAAUGCAGCAGCCACAACAACUCAGUUCUCGGAGCAUUUCUCUUGGCAAUUAAGAGAACAGCAGCAGCUCCAGCCUUGACUGCUAAGGAGGAAAGGGAUUUGGAGGUCUUCAGAGAGGCUCACCGCAGGAUCGAUGGGGAAGAGGAAGACCAGAUUCAAGCUCAUGAGCCGCCUCUGCCUCCACCGUUGUGUCUCCUCACUCAACUAUUCGACUGGCCCGAGCUCGUCGUCGCUCUAUCAAUCUCCACGCGCCGUGCAGCCUCCCCCCUCCUCCAUGGAUCUGGUUUGGAUCUAGACCAUUUGGUGUUGAAGUGGAGAUGUAGCAACGUGAGAAAAGAGGAAAUUUAAAGGAUGUAUAUGAAAUUGUACACAGCAUGGUGCGGGGGGCAUUUCAUAAAAUGUAACGUGGGGACGGUUGGG
RNAcentral lists this long non-coding RNA (2575 nucleotides) under Oryza sativa (Asian cultivated rice). RNAcentral describes it as "long non-coding RNA (OSAT_LNC000584)". Lineage: Eukaryota; Viridiplantae; Streptophyta; Magnoliopsida; Poales; Poaceae. The record is from RNAcentral.